GCCCCUGAGCGGCCGCCCCGAGCCUGCCCCGGCGCCUUCUCUCCGGUUCGCCCCGAUUCUGCUUUCCCCCCAGUCUGCUUCGGAUUGCUGUCUCCCGCACCCCACGUUCUCAGCCAGAGGGACCAGGGUGGUGUGGACUGGGGGUGGAGCCGUUCCUUGUACCCACUGUCCCACCUGCCCCCUCUAGCCCUCCCCCAGCAAGCGCCGAGAGAUGAGAACUAACGGCUAGAGACCCAGAAAGGUGAGGUUGCCCCAGGCGCGGGGUCCUCAAAACCAGUAAUCCUCAUGUUGGUGCCGGGAGAGGCUCAAAGGUAGGGAAACUGAGGCUUAGAAAAGGACGUUGGCCAAGGUCACCAGGCAGGGCCAAGCACAGAUCUGCAGGAGACUCCACCGGCCUGUGGCUGACACCAGCAGUUGACUGGAUCCCACACGGGGCUCUAGUCCUGGAUCCUUUCUGAGCCCUUGCCACUCGGCUUGCAGAGCAGAAGCCAAGGUCUAUCUCAUGUCCCCAGGGGCAGUGAGGAGGAGACCGACGACCCAGAGCCUGUUGGUCACAUGGCUGCAGCCCUCCAGCGAGAGAAGUCCGGACGCUGACCCCUUCCUCCCAAGAGCAGCAGAGUUCCUGCCCUGCCUAAGACAGGGCCCUUCCUUCUGGGCACUGGAGGCCUCUCUUUUCAAGAUAACAGCUCGCUGGCUGGACCUGCACUCUGCCGCCUGCUGCCGCUUGCCACCCACAUUCAGCACCAGGGAGAGCGCCCAGCAGCUCUGGCAGGCCCUGAGCUGAGAGGAAAUGGUGUAGGACCCAGGAGAGCCUGCCAAGACAACCUGAACCAGUGACCAGAGGAAGCCAAACUUGAAGGAAGGGCGUACCGAGACCAUCCUCCUCUUCAGUGCCCCUGCUGCUGGGAGCAGGGCAGGCCUGGGACUGUCCCUCCAGAAUCUGAGGCUCCCUGGACAGUGCAGGUCGUCCUGGACCUGUCCCCUGCUGCUGAGUCCCCAAGAGGAUUGUUGUCCACAUCUGGGUAACUCAGAGAAAGGACUGCUGUCCUGUGGGGGAUAGAGUGGUUUUCCUCUGAGGCUAAGUGCAAGAUGAACCCAGGCAUGGGAGGUAAUGGGGCUCAAAACAGCUGUGAGAAGUCACAUGGGCCCUGAGCCUAUUCCCUCCCAUCAUAUAAAUGAGCAGAGCACACAGGACCCUUCAGGGCCUCCCAUGAUGCCUCAGAGGACCGAAGUGGGUGCUGCUGCAGCCUUUGGGCUGCGGUGUACACAGUGUCCAGGCCUCUCCUGGGACUGCCACAAGGAUUAAAGCUUGAUGAAGAAUGCAAAGGCUGCUGGACGCAGUGGUGCGUGCCUGUAACCCCAGUAUUGAGAUCAAUCCAUGUGAGUCUAUUUAAUAGGUAAUAGGCAUUUAUUAAGACAUAAAUUGAGGAAAUACAUUCACGAAUACAGAACCGAAUAGACAGCUCCCAUACAAUGGCAGGAAGCACCACCUCCCAUAUAGCCCAAGAUCAUGGGCAGAGCAAAUACCACUACACUUUAGCAUUAGGGAGGCAGAGGCAUGCAGACCUCUGCAUGUUCGAGGUCAGCCUGGUCUACAUAGUGAGUUCCAAGACAGCCAGGGCUGCCUAGUGAGACCUUGUCUUAGUGCAGAGGCUGGCCAGCAAGGUAACUCAGUGGGCAAAAAACGCUUGCCAUGCAUGCUUAAUGGCAUGAGUUUGAUUCCUAGAACCCACAUAAAAAUAGAACCAACUCCACAAAGCAUACUGUGGUAUGUAUGGGCAGCCCCCUCAGCCACACACACACUAAUGAUAAUAAUAGUAGUAAUUAAUAAUGACAAAUUAAACUAUUAUAAUACAGAGUCUAGGUAUGUGUGAUGCACACCUAUAAUCUGAACACUUGGGAGGGCAUUUGAGUCUGAGGCAGUCUAGGCUACAUACUGAGUUUUGGGCCAGCUGGGGCUACAUGGGGACACCCUGUCUCAAACAAGCAGGCAAGCAAACAAACAAACCGUAUUACGCCGAAUGAAUGAUAUGAAUCUGUAAUCCCAGCGCUGUGGAGAAAAAGACAAGAGAUUGGGAGUCUGAGGUGAUCCUGUCCAUUGCAAGUUUGAGGCCAGCCUGGGAUAUAUGAGAUACUCCCUGAAAAUAAAAAUUUUAAAAAUGCCAAGGGCAA
Peromyscus maniculatus bairdii (prairie deer mouse) is the source of this 2172-nucleotide long non-coding RNA. RefSeq lists it as uncharacterized. The record is from RefSeq and is a predicted model, not a curated record. NCBI's taxonomy places the organism in Eukaryota, Metazoa, Chordata, Mammalia, Rodentia, Cricetidae.